AUCCCAUGCUGUUCAGAUAUUCUAAAUAAGGUAAUAUCGUGAGAGUCAAAUUCGAGCCUGGUGAGAGGGUUACACUAAUAAUUGGUUUUAUUUUAUGUGUUUCCACAGUCAUUCUUUUGCUAUUUCUCUAAAUGUUUUUAUCUCAACUGUGGGGUCAACAGUUGAUCACUUGAACCCUUUAUUAAUACUUUGUUAAAUACAAAGAACAACAACAGAAAUAGCAGAUCUAUAAGCACACAACUUUGAUGCUUUGCUUGUUAAUAACUAACUUGCUUAUCUUUUAACAUUUUCAUUUUUACUAUAAUUAGUGUACAAUGAAUGUUUUUGAUAUUUGUGUAAUUAUUAUUGUAAUGGAUAUUUUUUGUCAAUGUAGGAACAACGUGAUGUAAAUAUGAGACGUCACUCGUCCUUCGUGCACUUCCUGUGUACCUGCGUGAAGAUGCCUCCAAGUUUUUCAGGACCUGUAAUUCAGCAGAUGGUCCAGACCUCACUGACACUCCGGUGGCUCUCCUGACAGUUGUCACUGAUGAUACUACUGAUGCGGCCCUCUUCAGCCCUGAGAGCAUCUGUAUUGUCGUGGAAGAUGAAAUACUUGUGAGUGGUCCCACAAACCUGGCUGACUCAUUUCUCCUGCCCUUUGGGUAUGUCUAUGCACUAGACCUACAGUACCCAAAGAAUCUCGAGCUUACAUUCACAUUUAUCCAAAAAGUUGUGAUGUGUCUUGAGGACAACAAACCACUGAAAGGCCGUCUACUGACACUGAAGAAUGAUUUGUUCAAUGAGUGAAUCACUCAGAAUGGACUAUUUGUUGAGCUGAGUAUUGAGGAUGUUUUUAGUUUUUUUCCCCUCUUUACAAAUGUAAUAAUUUGCCUCUUCUACCUCAUGUUUAAUAUGUUACACUGUUUGCCUCUUUAAAAAAAGUGAGUUGCAGCCUUCAAGGUACAGUAAGUGCCAAAACGUUUUAAAUGGCUCCACAUUCUAAUAGUUGUCAUUGCUGUUGAGGAUGGAUUAUAAUUAGAAUCUUAUUGAAUUUUAUCAUGAAGCCUUUGUGAGUUUUUAUCAUAAUGUUUACUGAAUAAUGUGAUAUGGAGACCCAAAAUACUGAAUCUACCCUCUGUAGCAAUGACCACUAUCAGAAUAUGGAACUAUUAACACUUAAUGUACUUUAAAACACAUUUUGUUUUUAUGGAGUCAUUUCCUUUUUUGUUUUAAUUUAUGACAAGCACUUUGUUUUGACUGAGCUCCUUUUGAUUCGUGCCUUUUUAAAAGCACAUUGUGUUGAAUAAAAAAAAAAGUUAAAUUGUCA
This is a long non-coding RNA of Coregonus clupeaformis (lake whitefish), 1306 nucleotides long. RefSeq lists it as uncharacterized. NCBI's taxonomy places the organism in Eukaryota, Metazoa, Chordata, Actinopteri, Salmoniformes, Salmonidae. The record is from RefSeq and is a predicted model, not a curated record. The transcript is spliced from 2 exons.